This 470-nucleotide ribosomal RNA is filed under the name Bos indicus (zebu cattle). Its description in RNAcentral is "partial 16S ribosomal RNA". It matches the Rfam family "Bacterial large subunit ribosomal RNA", at positions 1965 to 2611 of the family's 2925-position model. The record is from RNAcentral. Lineage: Eukaryota; Metazoa; Chordata; Mammalia; Artiodactyla; Bovidae.
UCAUUUGUUCUCUAAAUAAGGACUUGUAUGAAUGGCCGCACGAGGGUUUUACUGUCUCUUACUUCCAAUCAGUGAAAUUGACCUUCCCGUGAAGAGGCGGGAAUGCACAAAUAAGACGAGAAGACCCUAUGGAGCUUUAACUAACCAACCCAAAGAGAAUAAAUUUAACCAUUAAGGAAUAACAACAAUCUCCAUGAGUUGGUAGUUUCGGUUGGGGUGACCUCGGAGAAUAAAAAAUCCUCCGAGCGAUUUUAAAGACUAGACCCACAAGUCAAAUCACUCUAUCGCUCAUUGAUCCAAAAACUUGAUCAACGGAACAAGUUACCCUAGGGAUAACAGCGCAAUCCUAUUCAAGAGUCCAUAUCGACAAUAGGGUUUACGACCUCGAUGUUGGAUCAGGACAUCCUGAUGGUGCAACCGCUAUCAAAGGUUCGUUUGUUCAACGAUUAAAGUCCUACGUGAUCUGAGUU